AGUGAACGCUGGCGGUAGGCCUAACACAUGCAAGUCGAACGGCAGCACAGUAAGAGCUUGCUCUUACGGGUGGCGAGUGGCGGACGGGUGAGGAAUACAUCGGAAUCUACUUUUUCGUGGGGGAUAACGUAGGGAAACUUACGCUAAUACCGCAUACGACCUACGGGUGAAAGCAGGGGAUCUUCGGACCUUGCGCGAUUGAAUGAGCCGAUGUGGGAUUAGCUAGUUGGCGGGGUAAAGGCCCACCAAGGCGACGAUCCGUAGCUGGUCUGAGAGGAUGAUCAGCCACAGUGGAACUGAGACACGGUCCAGACUCCUACGGGAGGCAGCAGUGGGGAAUAUUGGACAAUGGGCGGAAGCCUGAUCCAGCCAUACCGCGUGGGUGAAGAAGGCCUUCGGGUUGUAAAGCCCUUUUGUUGGGAAAGAAAAGCAGCAGGUUAAUACCCAGCUGUUCUGACGGUACCCAAAGAAUAAGCACCGGCUAACUUCGUG
RNAcentral lists this ribosomal RNA (492 nucleotides) under uncultured bacterium. RNAcentral's name for it is "partial 16S ribosomal RNA". It matches the Rfam family "Bacterial small subunit ribosomal RNA", at positions 29 to 507 of the family's 1533-position model. The record is from RNAcentral.